Non-coding RNA from Vicugna pacos (alpaca), 385 nucleotides. NCBI's taxonomy places the organism in Eukaryota, Metazoa, Chordata, Mammalia, Artiodactyla, Camelidae. The record is from RefSeq and is a predicted model, not a curated record.
UUCUCAUCGCUUGUUGAGAACAUAAGGUUCCUUUUCAGUUGGAAACUCAUCUACAUACAUAUAUAUGGGGAGGUACAAGCUCCAACUCGGUUUUACAGUGAAAACUGCAGGAACUUCAAACCGGCACUAGGAAACAGACUGAGAAUCCACAGUAAGUGUUUCUCCUGCAACCCGUUCCCUUUGUGCUAGAUGCACGAACGUCUCUCCCCUUGCUUAGUUAUAAGAUUAAAGUGUGUGUCAAAGCAUUCCUUCUCAUUGCUUGUUGAGAACAUAAGGUUCCUUUUCAGUUGGAAACUCAUCUACAUACAUAUAUAUGGGGAGGUACUAGCUCCAAAUCGACUCUAUAGUGGAAACUGCUGGAACUUCAACCCGGCACUAGGAAACA